AGGANUCGCAUGGAGAAGUCUGACGGAGCAACGCCGCGUGAGUGAUGAAGGUUUUCGGAUCNUANAGCUCUGUUGUUAGGGAAGAACAAGUGCCGUUCNAAUAGGGCGGCACCUUGACGGUACCUAACCAGAAAGCCACGGCUAACUACGUGCCAGCAGCCGCGGUAAUACGUAGGUGGCAAGCGUUGUCCGGAAUUAUUGGGCGUAAAGGGCUCGCAGGCGGUUUCUUAAGUCUGAUGUGAAAGCCCCCGGCUCAACCGGGGAGGGUCAUUGGAAACUGGGGAACUUGAGUGCAGAAGAGGAGAGUGGAAUUCCACGUGUAGCGGUGAAAUGCGUAGAGAUGUGGAGGAACACCAGUGGCGAAGGCGACUCUCUGGUCUGUAACUGACGCUGAGGAGCGAAAGCGUGGGGAGCGAACAGGAUUAGAUACCCUGGUAGGUCCACGCAA
RNAcentral lists this ribosomal RNA (448 nucleotides) under Bacillus subtilis. RNAcentral describes it as "bacterial SSU rRNA". It matches the Rfam family "Bacterial small subunit ribosomal RNA", at positions 359 to 802 of the family's 1533-position model. Lineage: Bacteria; Bacillati; Bacillota; Bacilli; Caryophanales; Bacillaceae. The record is from RNAcentral.